Long non-coding RNA from Danaus plexippus (monarch butterfly), 848 nucleotides. RefSeq lists it as uncharacterized. Lineage: Eukaryota; Metazoa; Arthropoda; Insecta; Lepidoptera; Nymphalidae. The record is from RefSeq and is a predicted model, not a curated record. The transcript is spliced from 2 exons.
CGACGACCGAACCUAUUAAUAACAAAAUUACUGUAAUCUGGAUACCUUCACAAAAUUCACACUCCUGGAAGAAAUCCAACGAUAAAUAUACGAAGUUACAAAAUAACUGCUCAGCUGUGUCAAGAACAGGGCCAUCUGUUUAUAGUAGGUUAGGAAAUUUGGAACUAUUUGUCGCGAUAUCAUCACCUUGAAGGCAGAAAAUGUCGAAGUUAAUAAAAUUUCGGUUUGUUUGUCUAUGAAUUUAUUUCUAAUAAAUCCAUAAAAAGAAAACUAAUUGAAUCAUAUUAAAUAUUAAUGUAUGUGAUACGACACAGUUUCCAUAAUUGGACUACAGCUACUUGACACAGGCACUUGAGAUAGGACUACGCUAUCAAAGAAGAUAGACAUUAAGUAGCAGAUGCGUCAUAGUCACUCACCAUCACAGACUGUCAACCGUAGGUAGAAACACGAAUAUAAGAGUGAGUCCAAAGAUACCUGUCCAGUACUAAGGCCAGCAGCAUGACUGACGGUAUCUCGGUGGCGGAGGUCAAAGUGAAGGUCACGAAAAAGUCCAACCCGAGGCCUUCCGACAUACGGACCAGCCCGUCGAAGACCAGCGCGCAUGUCAUGUACACUAUAACCAUCCGAGCGAGGAGACCUCGGAGAGCUGAACUCUUGAAGACAUCCAUUAUAGACUCUUUUGUGCGGCGAGUCUGACUGGCUGAGACCUACAGAGCAAAAAUAUAAUGGCUUCCUCACAUAAAAGCACCCGAGAAUAGUUACUUAUACCAAGAUAGGCCAUCAUGUUUUACUAAUGGUAAUUUUUAGAUGGACAAGGUUGUGUAUGAGAAUAAAGUAACUGUAUUUUG